GAGUCCGUGGCUCAAUGGCUAGGGCGUUUGACUUCGAAUCAACAGGUCGCGGGUUCA
RNAcentral lists this transfer RNA (57 nucleotides) under Schistocephalus solidus. It matches the Rfam family "tRNA", at positions 1 to 55 of the family's 71-position model. Rfam says of the family: Transfer RNA (tRNA) molecules are approximately 80 nucleotides in length. Their secondary structure includes four short double-helical elements and three loops (D, anti-codon, and T loops). Further hydrogen bonds mediate the characteristic L-shaped molecular structure. tRNAs have two regions of fundamental functional importance: the anti-codon, which is responsible for specific mRNA codon recognition, and the 3' end, to which the tRNAs corresponding amino acid is attached (by aminoacyl-tRNA synthetases). tRNAs cope with the degeneracy of the genetic code in two manners: having more than one tRNA (with a specific anti-codon) for a particular amino acid; and 'wobble' base-pairing, i.e. permitting non-standard base-pairing at the 3rd anti-codon position. Lineage: Eukaryota; Metazoa; Platyhelminthes; Cestoda; Diphyllobothriidea; Diphyllobothriidae. The record is from Rfam by way of RNAcentral.